UUAUGAUGUAGAUUCUUCAU
RNAcentral lists this microRNA (20 nucleotides) under Physcomitrium patens. RNAcentral describes it as "ppt-miR902h-5p". Its record names the gene ppt-miR902h-5p. Lineage: Eukaryota; Viridiplantae; Streptophyta; Bryopsida; Funariales; Funariaceae. The record is from miRBase by way of RNAcentral.